This 460-nucleotide ribosomal RNA is filed under the name uncultured bacterium. Its description in RNAcentral is "partial 16S ribosomal RNA". It matches the Rfam family "Bacterial small subunit ribosomal RNA", at positions 338 to 795 of the family's 1533-position model. The record is from RNAcentral.
CCUACGGGUGGCAGCAGUGAGGAAUAUUGGUCAAUGGCCGGAAGGCUGAACCAGCCAUGCCGCGUGAAGGUCAGUGCCCUAUGGGCGUUACACUUCUUUUGUGCGGGAGCAAUAAUGGUCACGUGUGGCCAGACGAGAGUACCGUACGAAUAAGCAUCGGCUAACUCCGUGCCAGCAGCCGCGGUAAUACGGGGGAUGCAAGCGUUAUCCGUAUUUUUUGGGUUUAAAGGGUGCGUAGGCUGGGAGGUAAGUCAGCGGUGAAAUGCCCCCGCGCAACGGGGUGAAUGGCCAUUGAUACUGCCUUGCUGGAAUGCAGAUGCCGUGGGAGGAAGGUGUGGGGUAGCGGUGAAAUGCAUAGAUAUCACACAGAACACCGAUUGCGAAGGCAGCUCACGAAUCCGCGACUGACGCUGAUGCACGAAAGCGUGGGUAUCAAACAGGAUUAGAUACCCGUGUAGUC